Molecule: long non-coding RNA, 3194 nt
Organism: Oncorhynchus nerka (sockeye salmon)
Lineage: Eukaryota; Metazoa; Chordata; Actinopteri; Salmoniformes; Salmonidae
Exons: 4
Source: RefSeq, a predicted model, not a curated record
CAUUGCAGCGAGGGUUACCGGGGUUACAGCGAGACUUGACCGUGUGGCGACAUGCACUUCCGCGUGGCAAUAUAAUCAUUAGCUGGAGUCCCAAUGAAAAUAAGAGGGGAGUAUUAUCGGAUUGUGUGUACCCGAGGCUCCUGUCUCGUUGCUGGCUGGCCCUGGCAGAGAGAAGAAAAAGCGGAACGCUAAAACAAGUUCAGCGUUCAACACCCACAAAGCUCUUCACUGAGCUAAGGACCCUGGGACUAAACACCUCCCUCUGCUACUGGAUCCUGGAAUUUCUGACGGUCUGCCCCCAGGUGGUACAGCUGCACCAUCGAGAGCAUCCUAACUGUUUGCAUCAACACCUGGUAUGGCAACUGCUCUGCUUCCGACCGUAAGGUGCUACAGAGAGUGAUUCUAAGGUGGUGCCCCAGACAGAUCUGGUACCUACCCUUGCCCUGCUCCUGGGCAUACCCAUCCCCUACAGCAGUGUGGGCAGGUCCUGCUGCCUCGGUUCCCUGCAGACAGCCAGAUAGGGGGUGCACCAGCAGGUCUCAGCCAGGCGGAGGCGCUGUGGAUCAAUGCCAAACAGGUUGAUGUUCGAGGCCUAAGGGUUCCCGGAGCAGUGUCUUUGUUCUGGUGGAGGUGACCCUCGUGAUGAGUGUCGACAUGGCAGUGGGCCGUUGGUUUAAGAGACUCUUCCUUGACACGUCUAGGUAGUGCUGCUCAUGCUCCUGCUCUGUUGCAACUGACCAGGGCUCACUCUAAGGUUCUCUACACUGUACAUCCCUAUCUGGUUCUAGGGGCGAGGGAAGGGGAGACACGAGGAUGGACAUAGGUGAUCUGGGGAAGUCUCCAUAAGGACAGCCAUAAAGAUCUGGAGAACGCGAGAUGUUAUGUUUGGGUGACUCCAUCCUCAAAAUGAUGAACUCUAAAACUAUUGAAAUACAUCUGUAAAAUUGGGAAAGGUCCAAACUUUACUUGCCAAUGUAUUGCCUAUCGGGAGAACAGAUAUCGAGGAUGUGUGCAGAGUGGAUGGGAAAGGGACCUAUGAGACCCACAAUGCACACUCUUGCACAUACUCAGUUAGGUGAGAUGUGUCAAAAGGAAAUGAGUGGAUAAUUGUGCAAAAGCAAUGAUUGAAUCCAUCCCUGCAACGUGCAUUAUUUCUGUCAUCUCAAUUGUCUGCUGAAGGAAAUGAUCAAUUCUUAUCUUGUGUUUCUAUAAUUGUUUAGUUUUUUUAAACAAUCGAUGUGCAGCACCAAAGAUAAUACGACAAUGUUUUACUGCAACAGCAAUAACUUUCUUAAUUAAUCUCUAAUAAACAGUUUAAUUCAUAACAAUGUUAUCACAAAUAUACAGUAGUCUUACAUGGGCCAGUAAUACACCUUUCCCUGGGACAGGUGUCCAGCUUUAAUGAAUGCCUUGUGUGAGGUGUUGGAUGAAAACAUUGAAAUAAUAAUGAUCCAGGACAUAAGCAUUGAAUGUUUAUUUAUUUCUCUGUGGUAGAUGCAGUGUGCUCUAGGUUACUGGACAAAGACAUGUUACAUUUCUUAGCUGUAGUCUAAAAUGCAUGAAAAUUAAAUCUGAGCUAAGGUUGAAUUAGCCAUAUGCAAUAGAGCUGCCUUGCUCAAGUGAAUGAUUAAUGUCUACUUCUCAUGGUGGCAGGUAGUGGGUACUAUAUACAGUUGAGGUCGGAAGUUUACAUACACCUUAGCCAAAUAUAUUUAAAUUCAGUUUUUCACAAUUCCUGACAAUUAAUCCUAGUAAAAAUUCCCUGUCUUAGGUCAGUUAGGAUCACCACUUUAUUUUUAAAAUGUGAAAUGUCAGAAUAAUAGUAGAGAAUUAUUUCCACUUUUAUUUCUUUCAUCACAUUCCCAGUCGGUCAGAAGUUUACAUACACUCAAUUAGUAUUUGGUAGCAUUGCCUUUAAAUUGUUUAUCUUGGGUCAAACAUUUCGGGUAGCCUUCCAAAAGCCUCCCACAGUAAGUUGGGUGAAUUUUGGCCCAUUCCUCCUGACAGAGCUGGUGUAACUGAGUCAGGUUUCUAGGCCUCCUUGCUCGCACACUCGUUUUCAAUAGGGUUGAGGUCACGGCUUUGUGAUGGUCACUCCAAUACCUUGACUUUGCUGUCCUUAAGCCAUUUUGCCACAACUUUGGAAGUAUGCUUGGGGUCAUUGUCCAUUUGGAAGACCCAUUUGUGACUAAGCUUUAACUUCCUGACUGAUGUCUUGAGAUUUUGCUUCAAUAUAUCCACAUCAUUUUCUUUCCUGACGAUGCCAUCUAUUUUGUAAUUUGCACCAGUCCCUCCUGCAUCAAAGCACCCCCACAACAUGAUUUCUCCAAAAAGUACAAUAUUUGUCCCCAUGUGUAGUUGCAAACCGUAGUCUAGCUUUUUUUAUGGCGGUUUUGGAGCAGUGGCUUCUUCCUUGCUGAGCGGCCUUUCAGGUUAUGUCGAUAUAGGACUAAUUUUACUGUGGAUAUAGAUACUUUUCUACCUGUUUGCUCCAGCAUCUUCACAAGGUCCUUUGUUGUUCUGGGAUUGUUUUGUACUUUUUGCACCGAAGUACAUUCAUCUCUAGGAGACGGAACGUGUCUCCUUCCUGAGCGAUUUGACGGCUGCUUGGUCCCAUGGUGUUUACACUUGCGUACUAUUGUUUGUACAGAUGAACUUGGUACCUUCAGGCGUUUGGAAAUUGCUCCCAAGGAUGAACCAGACUUGGGGGGUCUAAAAUGACUUUUCUGAGGUCUGGGCUGAUUUCUUUUGAUUUUCCCAUAAUGCAAGCAAAGAGGCACUGAGUUUGAAGGUAGGCAUUGAAAUGCAUCCACAGCUACACCUCCAAUUGACUCAAAUGAUGUCAAUUAUCAGAAGCUUCUAAAGCCAUGUCAUAAUUUUCUGGAAUUUGACAGCUGUUUAAAGGCACAGUCAACUUAGUGUAUGUUAACUUCUGACCCACUGGAAUUGUGACACUGAAUUAUAAGUGAAAUAAUUGUCUGUAAACAAUUGUUGGAAAAAUUACUUGUGUCAUGCACAAAGUAGAUGUCCUAACCGACUUGACAAAACUAUAGUUUGUUAACAAGACAUUUGUGGAGUGGUUGAAAAACUAGUUUUAAUGACUCCAACCUAAGUGUAUGUCAACUUCUGAGUUCAACUUUGUGUGUGUGUGUAUAUAUACACUGCUCAAAAAAAUAAAGGGAACACUAAAAUAA